GUGAAUCAUCAAAUCUUUGAACGCAUAUUGCACUCUCUGCUAUUCCGAAGAGUAUGUGUAUUUGAGUGUUAAUUGAAAUAAUAUAAAUUCUAAGUUUUCUCGGAAUUUAAAAUGGGUUGUCCAUUUUUUGUUUUGGCCUAAAAUCCAAGACAAUCUCAUUUUCUUGGGUUGCUUAAUAGUUUCAGUAACCUCUUGACUUAACCAGUGAUC
RNAcentral lists this unclassified non-coding RNA (210 nucleotides) under Ambisporaceae sp. RNAcentral describes it as "partial internal transcribed spacer 2". The stretch from base 1 to 71 matches the Rfam family "5.8S ribosomal RNA", at positions 84 to 154 of the family's 154-position model. The record is from RNAcentral. Lineage: Eukaryota; Fungi; Glomeromycota; Glomeromycetes; Archaeosporales; Ambisporaceae.